RNAcentral lists this ribosomal RNA (337 nucleotides) under uncultured Pseudomonas sp. RNAcentral's name for it is "bacterial SSU rRNA". It matches the Rfam family "Bacterial small subunit ribosomal RNA", at positions 1046 to 1382 of the family's 1533-position model. The record is from RNAcentral. Lineage: Bacteria; Pseudomonadati; Pseudomonadota; Gammaproteobacteria; Pseudomonadales; Pseudomonadaceae.
UGGCUGUCGUCAGCUCGUGUCGUGAGAUGUUGGGUUAAGUCCGUAACCGAGCGCAACCCUUGUCCUUAGUUACCAGCACGUUAUGGUGGGCACUCUAAGGAGACUGCCGGUGACAAACCGGAGGAAGGUGGGGAUGACGUCAAGUCAUCAUGGCCCUUACGGCCUGGGCUACACACGUGCUACAAUGGUCGGUACAAAGGGUUGCCAAGCCGCGAGGUGGAGCUAAUCCCAUAAAACCGAUCGUAGUCCGGAUCGCAGUCUGCAACUCGACUGCGUGAAGUCGGAAUCGCUAGUAAUCGUGAAUCAGAAUGUCACGGUGAAUACGUUCCCGGGCCUU